AAGGAUCAUUAGAUUGAAUUAUCAUUGUUGCUCGAGUUCUUGUUUAGAUCUUUUACAAUAAUGUGUAUCUUUAUUGGAGAUGUGCGCUUAAUUGCGCUGCUUCAUUAGAGUGUCGCAGUAGAAGYAGUCUUGCUUGAAUCUCAGUCAACGUUUACACACAUUGGAGUUUUUUACUUUAAUUUAAUUCUUUCUGCUUUGAAUCGAAAGGUUCAAGGCAAAAAACAAACACAAACAAUUUUAUUUUAUUAUAAUUUUUUAAACUAAACCAAAAUUCCUAACGGAAAUUUUAAAAUAAUUUAAAACUUUCAACAACGGAUCUCUUGGUUCUCGCAUCGAUGAAGAACGUAGCGAAUUGCGAUAAGUAAUGUGAAUUGCAGAUACUCGUGAAUCAUUGAAUUUUUGAACGCACAUUGCGCCCUUGAGCAUUCUCAAGGGCAUGCCUGUUUGAGCGUCAUUUCCUUCUCAAAAGAUAAUUUUUUAUUUUUUGGUUGUGGGCGRUACUCAGGGUUAGCUUGAAAUUGGAGACUGUUUCAGUCUUUUUUAAUUCAACACUUAGCUUCUUUGGAGACGCUGUUCUCGCUGUGAUGUAUUUAUGGAUUUAUUCGUUUUACUUUACAAGGGAAAUGGUAAUGUACCUUAGGCAAAGGGUUGCUUUUAAUAUUCAUCAAGUUUGACCUCAAAUCAGGUAGGAUUACCCGCUGAACUUAAGCAUAUCAAUAAGCGGAGGAAAAGAAACCAACUGGGAUUACCUUAGUAACGGCGAGUGAAGCGGUAAAAGCUCAAAUUUGAAAUCUGGUACUUUCAGUGCCCGAGUUGUAAUUUGUAGAAUUUGUCUUUGAUUAGGUCCUUGUCUAUGUUCCUUGGAACAGGACGUCAUAGAGGGUGAGAAUCCCGUUUGGCGAGGAUACCUUUUCUCUGUAAGACUUUUUCGAAGAGUCGAGUUGUUUGGGAAUGCAGCUCAAAGUGGGUGGUAAAUUCCAUCUAAAGCUAAAUAUUGGCGAGAGACCGAUAGCGAACAAGUACAGUGAUGGAAAGAUGAAAAGAACUUUGAAAAGAGAGUGAAAAAGUACGUGAAAUUGUUGAAAGGGAAGGGCAUUUGAUCAGACAUGGUGUUUUUUGCAUGCACUYGCCUCUCGUGGGCUUGGGCCUCUCAAAAAUUUCACUGGGCCAACAUCAAUUCUGGCAGUAGGAUAAAUCAUUAAGAAUGUAGCUACCUCGGUAGUGUUAUAGCUUAUUGGAAUACUGCUAGCUGGGAUUGAGGACUGCGCUUCGGCAAGGAUGUUGGCAUAAUGGUUAAAUGCCGC
This 1304-nucleotide ribosomal RNA is filed under the name Hanseniaspora opuntiae. RNAcentral describes it as "eukaryotic LSU rRNA". Lineage: Eukaryota; Fungi; Ascomycota; Saccharomycetes; Saccharomycodales; Saccharomycodaceae. The record is from RNAcentral.